GUUAUAUGGUCAAGCGAAUAAGCGCACACGGUGGAUGCCUUGGCGGUCAGAGGCGAUGAAGGACGUGGCAGCCUGCGAAAAGUAUCGGGGAGCUGGCAACAAGCUUUGAUCCGGUAAUGUCCGAAUGGGGAAACCCACCCGCUUGCGGGUAUCCUGCAGUGAAUACAUAGCUGCUGGAAGCGAACCUGGUGAACUGAAAUAUCUAAGUAACCAGAGGAAAAGAAAUCAACCGAGAUUCCGUAAGUAGCGACGAGCGAACGCGGACUAGCCCUUAAGCUGAUUUGGUUCUAGGAAAAYGCUCUGGAAAGAGCGGCCAUAGAAGGUGAUAGCCCUGUAUCUGAAAGGGCCAUUUCAGUGAAGACGAGUAGGGCGGGGCACGUGAAACCCUGUCUGAACAUGGGGGGACCAUCCUCCAAGGCUAAAUACUACUGACCGACCGAUAGUGAACCAGUACCGUGAGGGAAAGGCGAAAAGAACCCCGGAGAGGGGAGUGAAAUAGAACCUGAAACCGUGUGCGUACAAGCAGUAGGAGCUCCGCAAGGAGUGACUGCGUACCUUUUGUAUAAUGGGUCAGCGACUUACUGUUCGUGGCAAGCUUAACCGUAUAGGGGAGGCGAAGGGAAACCGAGUCUGAUAAGGGCGCAUAGUCGCGGGCAGUAGACCCGAAACCGGGUGAUCUAGUCAUGCCCAGGGUGAAGGUGCGGUAACACGCACUGGAGGCCCGAACCCACUCCCGUUGCAAAGGUAGGGGAUGAGGUGUGAUUAGGAGUGAAAAGCUAAUCGAACCCGGAGAUAGCUGGUUCUCCUCGAAAGCUAUUUAGGUAGCGCCUCAUAUGUAUCCUCUCGGGGGUAGAGCACUGUUAUGGCUAGGGGGUCAUCGCGACUUACCAAACCAUUGCAAACUCCGAAUACCGAGACGGACUGUAUGGGAGACACACGGCGGGUGCUAACGUCCGUCGUGAAAAGGGAAACAACCCAGACCCACAGCUAAGGUCCCAAAUUCACUGCUAAGUGGAAAACCAUGUGGAAAGGCACAGACAGCCAGGAGGUUGGCUUAGAAGCAGCCACCCUUUAAAGAAAGCGUAAUAGCUCACUGGUCGAGUCGGUCUGCGGGGAAGAUUUAACGGGGCUAAGCAGUGAACCGAAGCUUGGGGUGCAUAACUUUGUUAUGCGCGGUAGAGGAGCGUUCCGUAAGCCGUUGAAGGUGGAUUGAGAAGUCUGCUGGAGGUAUCGGAAGUGCGAAUGCUGACAUGAGUAACGAUAAUGCGGGUGAAAAACCCGCACGCCGAAAGCCCAAGGUUUCCUUGCGCAACGUUAAUCGGCGCAGGGUGAGUCGGCCCCUAAGGCGAGGACGAAAGUCGUAGUCGAUGGGAAGCAGGUUAAUAUUCCUGCACCUCGCGUAAGUGCGAUGGAGGGACGGAGAAGGUUAGGUGUACCAGGCGUUGGUUGUCCUGGGGAAAGGCGGUAGGUUUGGAUCUUUGGCAAAUCCGGGAUCCUUUAAGACCGAGCACCGAGACGAGCCUUUAUGGCGAAGUCACUGAUACCACGCUUCCAGGAAAAGCUCCUAAGCUUCAGCUUACGCAGACCGUACCGUAAACCGACACAGGUGGGUAGGAUGAGAAUUCUCAGGCGCUUGAGAGAACUCGGGUGAAGGAACUAGGCAACAUGGCACCGUAACUUCGGGAGAAGGUGCACCCUUUUUGGUGGCUCGUGCGAGCUAUAGCUGAAGAGGGUCGCAGUAACCAGGCCGCUGCGACUGUUUAUCAAAAACACAGCACUCUGCAAACACGAAAGUGGACGUAUAGGGUGUGACGCCUGCCCGGUGCUGGAAGGUUAAUUGAUGGGGUCAGCCGCAAGGCGAAGCUCUUGAUCGAAGCCCCAGUAAACGGCGGCCGUAACUAUAACGGUCCUAAGGUAGCGAAAUUCCUUGUCGGGUAAGUUCCGACCUGCACGAAUGGCGUAACGACAGCGGCGCUGUCUCCACCCGAGACUCAGUGAAAUUGAAAUCGCUGUGAAGAUGCAGCGUUCCCGUGGCAAGACGGAAAGACCCCGUGAACCUUUACUAUAGCUUUACACUGAACGUUGAGUUCGUCUGUGUAGGAUAGGUGGGAGGCUAUGAAACUGUGGCGCUAGCUGCAGCGGAGCCAUCCUUGAAAUACCACCCUGUCGUGCUUGACGUUCUAACCUGGGCCCAUUAUCUGGGUCGGGGACCGUGUAUGGUGGGUAGUUUGACUGGGGCGGUCUCCUCCUAAAGAGUAACGGAGGAGCUCGAAGGUACGCUCAGCGCGGUCGGACAUCGCGCACUGUGUGCAAAGGCAUAAGCGUGCUUGACUGCAAGAUCGACGGAUCAAGCAGGUAGGAAACUAGGACUUAGUGAUCCGGUGGUUCUGUAUGGAAGGGCCAUCGCUCAACGGAUAAAAGGUACUCCGGGGAUAACAGGCUGAUACCGCCCAAGAGUUCAUAUCGACGGCGGUGUUUGGCACCUCGAUGUCGGCUCAUCACAUCCUGGGGCUGUAGUCGGUCCCAAGGGUAUGGCUGUUCGCCAUUUAAAGUGGUACGCGAGCUGGGUUCAGAACGUCGUGAGACAGUUCGGUCCCUAUCUGCCAUGGGCGUUGGAGAUUUGAGAGGGGCUGCUCCUAGUACGAGAGGACCGGAGUGGACGAACCUCUGGUGUUCCGGUUGUCACGCCAGUGGCAUUGCCGGGUAGCUAUGUUCGGAAGCGAUAACCGCUGAAAGCAUCUAAGCGGGAAGCGCGCCUCAAGAUGAGAUCUCCCGGGGCACAAGCCCCCUGAAGGAACCAUGUAGACUACGUGGUUGAUAGGUCAGGUGUGUAAGUACAGCAAUGUAUUGAGCUAACUGAUACUAAUGAUCCGAGAGGCUUGACCAUAUAACCU
RNAcentral lists this ribosomal RNA (2894 nucleotides) under Stenotrophomonas maltophilia. RNAcentral's name for it is "23S ribosomal RNA". The record is from RNAcentral. Lineage: Bacteria; Pseudomonadati; Pseudomonadota; Gammaproteobacteria; Lysobacterales; Lysobacteraceae.